CCAGAAAACGGCGGGCAGCGGGAAGCCGUGGACUUCCCUUUCGCACAUUGGUCAAAAAGCUUUUGUAUAGGAAAAAAGUGGCAGUCCUCUGUCCUCUUCUCCAUUCCCCAUGAAAGUCCUUUCUCUCAUCCCGAAGCUCAAACGACCUCUACUCAUCACAGAUCUUCCCCUCUAAAUUCGGCAGUCUCUUCUCCGUCGGUUGGCAGCUCUGGGAUCCCGACUGCCAUGGCAGGCUGCGCAAUCGAAGGUGGCUGUCCCAGCGACUACGUCGCCGUCGCCAUCUCUGUGCUGUCCCUGCUCCUGCUUCUUUCUCGGUCAAUUUUGCCCUUUGUUGUUCACAAGGUUUCUCCUAAGAAAGGCAGUGCCUUUUGGAUUCCCAUGAUUCAAGUUCUUGCCGGCAUCAACCUUGUAUCGUCACUUGUGAUGUCCCUUAAUUUCCUAAAUUUCAAAAAGCGGCAUCGGUGGCAGUCUUGCUAUGUCUGGGCAGUCUGGUUUGAAGGUCCACUUGGAUUUGGUUUGCUUCUAAGCUGUCGCAUAGUGCAGGCGUUCCAAUUGUAUUUCAUAUUUGCCAAGAGGCGUCUACCACCACUAAGAUCACAUAUCGCUCUCCUGUUGUUUCUUUUCCCAUGGUUUGCUGGGGCAGCAUUUAUCCACAUAAGGAAACCUCUGAAUAAUCGCUGUCACUCGAAGGCACAAUGGGUCAUCCCAGUGAUUAGCCUCCACGCCUUAUACGUUGCCAUUUUGGUUGCCUUUACAGGAGCCAUUCGACAUAUAGAAUUCAGGUUUAAUGAGUUGAGAGAUCUGUGGAGAGGAAUACUUUUCUCAGCAUCUUCUAUAGGUGUGUGGAUUGCUGCUUAUAUUCUGAAUGAACUUCAUGAGGAGAUUGGAUGGCUUCAAGUCUUGUCCAGGUUUUGCCUUUUAGUAACGACGAGUGUUCUUGUCGUGGUUUUCUUCUGUGUGUCAAGUUCACAACCUCUCCUCUCCCAAAUUAGUUUGAGGAAAAGGGAGCCUCUGAGGUGCAAGACGAUGGGCCAAGCUCUAGGCAUACCAGACAGUGGACUUCUCUUACGAAGUGAAGCAAAUCCUCCAAUAGAUCCCAAUGAGCCUCUAGAAAAGCUUCUCCUCAACAAAAGAUUCCGUCAAUCCUUUAUGGCAUUUGCUGAUAGUUGUUUGGCCGGGGAGAGUGUGCAUUUCUAUGAUGAUGUCCACGAGCUUGGUAAAAUUCCUGCAGAUGACUCCAUUCGAAGGAUCUAUAUGGCACGGGAUAUCAUUGAUAAAUACAUAGUUGCAGGUGCUUCAAUGGAGGUGAACAUUUCUCAUAGAUGCAGGCAGGAGAUUCUGACGACUCCUAAUCUAACUCAUCCUCAUCUUUUCGAUAAUGCGCUGAACGAGCUCCUGCAGUUGAUGAAAAUGAAUUUGGCGAGAGAUUAUUGGUCCUCGAUGUUCUUCCUGAAGUUCAAAGAGGAAGCAAGCUUGAGAUUGAAUGGUCAUGAGCUAGAACGAAUGUCAGGCUGGAAUUUCUCCCCGAGGCUGAGUGCUGUACAUGGCUCUGAUGAUCCCUUUCACCACGAUCAUCUGUCAAGGAGCUCUGACCACAAUGAUAAAGACACACCCCUGAGCUGAGUUCGAAGAUAAAAUCGUCAACUACCACAAGUUGUGAAUCCACCACCAACUGAAUGAAGUCUCGGUUGCAAAGAGACGAACAAGUUACGAAACCAGAGGACUUGCUCAGCAAAUACAGAGUGAAGAAAACUAAACGAGGAGUAGAGGACACGGAUAGUGAAAGAGGAACCAUGAGCUGUAGGUCCUGCAGAUAUCCUGCCAUUGAGGUGCUUUCCCAGUAUCGUAGAAGAACUGUGGCUCUAUUCAAAUCAUCAAUGCCGCAUUAAUUUGCUUCGGCAAGAAUUGUUUGGAAUGAUGAAAUUGCAAUUUCAUCCACAACACACACAUGAGGUUAUGCUAUUCCUCUCCUUGCAUCUCCAGUUAAAUGUUGGGGGCGCGACUUUCCUUUUGAAAGGAAAAUAUGUAACACAUGCAUUGACAUGGUACCGUCACUUAUCGAAGCACUGCAAGCGCAUACAUGUGGGGUCCUUCUGGUGGGAUGCAUCUCUCGUCCUCGUGAAUAUAUGAUGUAUCCGAUACCUGCAUGAAUAUGAGAUUGAGUAUUAAAAGUUUAAAUGCGUUUCUUUAGGCUCAAACUUGUGUUCUUCCAUUGUAAGGAUUGAGUUACUUACCAUUCAAACAACACUUUGAUAGUUUGGCAGCUAAUUUUUUCGGUGUGUA
This is a non-coding RNA of Punica granatum (pomegranate), 2283 nucleotides long. The record is from RefSeq and is a predicted model, not a curated record. NCBI's taxonomy places the organism in Eukaryota, Viridiplantae, Streptophyta, Magnoliopsida, Myrtales, Lythraceae.